Molecule: small nucleolar RNA, 134 nt
Organism: Brassica oleracea var. oleracea
Lineage: Eukaryota; Viridiplantae; Streptophyta; Magnoliopsida; Brassicales; Brassicaceae
Rfam family: Small nucleolar RNA snoR136
Source: Rfam
GUAGUCAACAAAAUAUUUUAAUGAUUAACAUGUGAAGCAUUGUUGUGAAUGUUUUAGCCUACAUUGAAUCUAGUUCCCCUCGCUAUCCUGUUCGUCAAUUCUAAUGAUGUACUGGACGUCGGGGAACAAUAUGU